CCAGGGCAAUGUCCACAUUUGCCAGCUUUCACUAAACAUAGAAGGUAGUAGGUGUGUGGUUUAAAUAGAUUGUCAGG
This is a microRNA precursor of Bos grunniens (domestic yak), 77 nucleotides long. The record is from Ensembl. Lineage: Eukaryota; Metazoa; Chordata; Mammalia; Artiodactyla; Bovidae.